CACACCUGCAAGUCCUUAAAUGGGUUUUUUCACUUGAGCCAAAAAUGUUGGAAAAAACUUGAUUACUUUAUUUCAGAGCAUUGUUUCGAGAAGGAAGGAAGCUCCCAUUUUUAGUUACGGAUUAUUAUGUAAGCGAGACCUUUAAGAAGACAUCUAAAGCGCACUAAGGACAAAACAGAAAAAUCCUUGUAAUUUUGCUGCCCGUGCGCUGGGCACGGAACGUUGCCUCUCCUCCUACACGUCCUUGUUUCUGUGAGCGAACAGAUCGGGGUCCUGUGGGGUGUCCAUGCCCCAGAUGUUGGCGAUGUCUUCUGUACGUCACAGGCAUCUAACCGUGUAGUCCCAUGGGUGUUUGUGGGGGUGUGAGGAUCCGUCCGUCCUUCUCCGGCAAGUGGCUUCUUGGUGGCGCGCCAUGCCCGGGUAUACGUGACGUGUGGUGGCCCCUCCUCUCCUGGAACGUUGGGUCGAUGGAUCUUUGGUUUCCUGCAACGCCAGCCAGACUCAGUCCCUGAGAUGUGCCCUCAGCGGACUCUGGGCUGUUACCGCUGCCGCCCCCCACCCGACUUCUGACUGUGACAUCUUCUGGGUGGACGAGAGCCUCCCCGCAGCCGCCGUGGCCGGUCUGGCUACAGCUGCUCCUGUGGCAGGCCAGAGUGGGAGCCCGGCCCGGCCCGAGGGCGGGUGGACCCAUCAUCCCACCUAUGAUGCACAGAAGUCACCAGGCCCAGACACUCUUCCCCGAGAGGAGACACUCACUUACCCACACCCACGUCCUGUUUUCAAAACAGCAAGACUGCGCAUGCACGUUCCCCAGAAAAGCAGGAGCUUCGGCCUCCGCGGCCGGGAUCAUGCUGGGGCCGACCUGCUGGGAUCGUGCCCCGUUUCUUGGGUGUUUCUAAUUAGGACGAUGUCCGCCGGCCCUGUUUUCCCUGACACACUUAGCUGGAGAGAAUGGAUUUCAUGCUCACCCAUGCAGGUUUCCCUGCCUCCUUGUUGGCUUAGAAGAGGAGAGUGGGGCCGCUUUCCCUCUAAUUACAUGGCUGUCCUCAGGUUAACCCCUGCGUGCCGGGUUCUCUGGGACACAAAACAGCCUUGGGAAAAGCCUGUGGUGCACAAUUCUGGCUUUUUUUUUUUUUUUUUUUUUUUUCCCCUCUUUGGGUCUGGAAAGUAAGAAAAAUACUGAUUUCAUUUUUAAACACCCGUGGAGGAAGUUUGGGAUUGUUUUCCCCCAGAGGAAACAGACGCAUGAACUAGCAGGUUUAUUCUGUUCACGUGUGGGGGGAGGGAAGGCUUUGCGCAGAUGGGCUCCUUUGCCUGUGGCUUGAAAACGGCACGUUCUGAACCGUGAAGCCUGAGGGUCUGUCCAUAGGACAUGGUGGGAGGGACACGGCAAAGGGCCCCAGCCGGGCCUCCUUCCCUGCACCCGGGGCUCCUGGAUCGGGGGCUCGCUGGGCGGCGAAGGUGUCUGGUGGGUCCACAACCUGUGAGCCGUGGAGGGCAGGGCAAGGCCAUCCUCCACGCCGACUCCCGGGGCUGGGUGGGUUGUACUCGGUGCUGCGGACACUUGGGGGCUCUUCUGCUCGAGGACUGUUUGCACACCACCAGCUCCAGAAUUGCCGCGGGCAUCCAGAACCCCUUCACUCCCCUGCUAGGCCCCCAUGCCGAUGCCCCAAGCGCAGAGCUGCCCCCCCGCCUCCGAGAUGUCCCCGCUUCCUUCUCAACCCGCAGGACGGCGCGGGGUCUCGGGCUCAGGACAGCCACCAGGCUGCUCCGCUUUGACGAGGAGACGUCCCCGCACGUGGCGGACACCUGGAAGCAGCAGCGCGGGCCGUGCACCCCCCAUCCAAGCCUCUGCCUGCUGAGGCCCCCAGCACGUCCCCUCCGUAGCCAUCUCAUUCCAGUCAUGUUCUUAUUGGGUUUGCGUCUGGCUGUUGUCCUGUGGGCGGCAGGUCUGUGUAUAGCUGGGGUCCCUCUGCUUCAGGCCACAUGUGGUGACCCUGUUGGGAGGCAGGGGACCAGCCUUGGAGGACUUCCUCCUUUCUGUCCUGCUGCUCCCGGUCUCCUGGGUCGUGUCACGUAAUGAGGCUCUGUCCUCCCUGCUUUCUCUGUAGCCUGUGGAAGUGUGAACCCCGUGAAACAUAGUUUACAAAGUUAGGAUCGGUUAAGUAUCGCGCAUUAUAAAUCCAAGUGAUGGUGUUGCCUUUUGUGCGAAGGCAAUAAUGUCACUAAAUCCCAGAGAAUUCUAAUAUUUAAGUAUCGUUGCUGCCUUUAUACAUUUACUAAUAAAGGAAAACCUUCCAAUACCUAAAACCAAAGUAGAAACUUUUGUGUAUGGUUUUCCUUUGAAUGGGUCAGUACCUUGAUUGAGUUCUAAAAAUCGGUUUUCUUUGAAGGUUUUCUGUCCCGGGCUUUGAACUGUUCUCACUUGUUUCUAUUUUGAAGUGUAUAUUGGAGAAAAACUCUGCCUUCCUUUCCUUUUUUUGUUACGUGCGUCACUGCGGAUUCUUGACAACCAGACUUGUAAGGGAUUGAUCUGAAGGCUCCCCGCAGCUGGCCUGUUUGGGCGUCCUGCCUUCUGCGGAGGUGCGGGGGGCCCUUCAGGUGGCAGAGCCGGGCCUCCCCCUUCCACAAGCCCUGGGCUCGGGGACACGAUGACAAGUUCGGUGCCCGUGAGUCAGGGGGCCGAGGCCUAGUCACACCCCAUUUCCCAGCUUCUCCGUAAGCGGGGCCACUGGAGCAGGAAGGAGGCUCCUCAGCCUGGAGGCCCCUCCCCCAGGGCAGGACCCUCCUGGGUUCUCCUGUGACUGACUGUCCUCCUUCUAUCCAGUCUGUGAUGGAGCCUCCCUGACCCCGUCCACACCUGUGAGCCAGGACAGGCCUUCCUGCUGCUUGGGAGGCGGAGCCAGCGAGGGACGGUGGUGGGCCAGGUUGUAGCCCGGGUCCAGGAGCCUCUGUGAGCAGCAUUAUCCGGGAUGAGCGGUAGCCACGCGCGCCCUGGUCCGUGGGACGCAGACACGCAGUCCGGUUACCCACUUUCUCUGGGUUCCGGGCCGAGGGCAGGCCAUGUGGAGCAGGGAGGCCCCGUGGCCGUGUCUCCCCCGUCUCCGGGGCUGCCCGCCCAGCAGA
Molecule: long non-coding RNA, 3126 nt
Organism: Lutra lutra (Eurasian river otter)
Lineage: Eukaryota; Metazoa; Chordata; Mammalia; Carnivora; Mustelidae
Exons: 3
Source: RefSeq, a predicted model, not a curated record